UAGACAUGGAUGUUAAUAUUUGAUAAUCACUUUUAAUCUAGGACUUAAUGCUUUUGGGUAAUUUAAUCGGUUGGGAAAUCGUCGAUUAAACUAUCCAAUCGACUUUGUGAUCGUUUAAAUGUUUGGGAAAUUGAUGUUUAAACGAUCCCUUAGAAAUAACGAUAUCAUUUGGACACGAAUGAUAUUGUCGAGUGAUUGUGAUAAUAUCGUUUAAAAAGCUAGAAUCUGUUAAUUGAUAGAGAGAUUGCAGCUGUUACGCUUGGUUGAUAUCUCUAACCCGAAGCGAAAUGGUCAUAUCUCUUCUCUAUUUAUUUUAUGUCAAAUAGUUUAUAUAGUUUACACAAACACACAUUUUAAAUCCAUACACUUAGAACAAUAUUGAUUGUUGAAUGACUUAAAUAUCGCGCUAGUCCCUGUGGAGACGAUAUACACAAAAAUACUUACUUUUGAUUGAUAGAAAAAUACUACAUCA
RNAcentral lists this long non-coding RNA (472 nucleotides) under Medicago truncatula (barrel medic). RNAcentral describes it as "long non-coding RNA (MTRU_LNC004051)". The record is from RNAcentral. Lineage: Eukaryota; Viridiplantae; Streptophyta; Magnoliopsida; Fabales; Fabaceae.